This 664-nucleotide long non-coding RNA is filed under the name Nicotiana benthamiana. RNAcentral describes it as "long non-coding RNA (NBEN_LNC002653)". The record is from RNAcentral. Lineage: Eukaryota; Viridiplantae; Streptophyta; Magnoliopsida; Solanales; Solanaceae.
CUCUAUUCUCUUUAACUCUACUCUUCCUCUCCCCAUUUUCCUUUCUUUCUACUUUUUUUUCCUCAAAGAAAAUGGAAGAGAGAGAGAAUUUUGUUAUGAGUAAUGAAUAGGAAAACAAGGAGAGGUGGGGAUAGCAAUAAAGUAAGGGUAUGUACUAGAAAAUUUCUUUCUCCCUUAUAAAUGUGGAAGCCGAGUAAGAGGCUCAAUCUUUGAUCUCCUCUUGCAAGAAAAUAGUAACCUAAUUAUUCUUCUUUUGCUUCAUUCUCCCUUUCACCUUUUUUCCUUUUUUUUUAAAAGAAAAAAUCCUCUAUUGAGUGUGUAAGAUUUUGUUGCACUAUUGUUUCCUAAAACACUCUUUUCUUGUAGUUGUGAGAAACUUUGUUACCUUCUCUUUUGGGGUAAAAAAAAACCUGGCCACUGACUACUACAGUAAUUUUUUUCAUGAGAAGCUGAAUUGAAGGGAGGAGAGACCUUUCAAAAUGAUGAUGGAAAAAAGGAAAAAAGUGAAUACGUGGUCCAAGAAUUAGGUUCAAUGAAUUCAAAAGCUCCAAAUUUCAGAUAGUUUCUGUUCAAUUAUGUGUGAAGACAUAACAAAGUUUGAUGGUAGCAGCCAACUAGUAUUUUGGGACCAUUUUAUUAAUUGUUGAGAGACAAAGGCUCACAU